UGCACAUGGUGUGAAAAUCCAUCCUUAAAAUGAAAGCUCACUGAAAAGGCAAGCAGAAGUGACAUUGAAAUGCCUGUGGUUCAAAAGCUCUGUGUUGGAAAGCUGCCGUUUGAUGUAUUUGGCCAAGGAAGACUGAAACCUGUUAACAUUACACUUCCAGUGCAUCCCCAAACCAAACACAACAUCCCUGAGAAGUGAAACCUGGUUGGGAAGAAGCAACUGGCUGUUAGACUUCAGGACAAAAGGAAAACAUCAUGAUGGUGAAUUGAAGUAAUGACAAGAUAUUGAGUGGGACUUCAAAGAACCCAACAUACUUGCUUCUCCUUCAAAAAGGAAAACUACAAUAGGCCUGGUAACAGAAUCAAACUCUCUCAAGCAUAAACACCAUUGAAGCCA
This is a long non-coding RNA of Columba livia (rock pigeon), 396 nucleotides long. RefSeq lists it as uncharacterized. The transcript is spliced from 3 exons. The record is from RefSeq and is a predicted model, not a curated record. NCBI's taxonomy places the organism in Eukaryota, Metazoa, Chordata, Aves, Columbiformes, Columbidae.